RNAcentral lists this long non-coding RNA (243 nucleotides) under Elaeis guineensis (African oil palm). RNAcentral's name for it is "long non-coding RNA (EGUI_LNC021901)". Lineage: Eukaryota; Viridiplantae; Streptophyta; Magnoliopsida; Arecales; Arecaceae. The record is from RNAcentral.
AUAUAGAAUCAUUUGGUUUCUCACUUUCGCUUCUUCAUUUGAUUGCGAAUGACCGACUGAGGUGAGUUUGUGAGUGACGUGAAAUCUUGUACAAAAUUUUUUGAACUUCUUAUUGUUGAAUUAUCGACCAUUAUCGAUGAUGAUGGUAUAUGGCAAUCUGAAUCGAUAUAUGAUGGACUUCUGAAUAAAAUCUUUCAUUUUUUUCUCAAUAAUUUGUGCUAGGGGUUUGACCUCCACCUAUUU